RNAcentral lists this long non-coding RNA (712 nucleotides) under Capsicum annuum. RNAcentral's name for it is "long non-coding RNA (CANN_LNC000963)". Lineage: Eukaryota; Viridiplantae; Streptophyta; Magnoliopsida; Solanales; Solanaceae. The record is from RNAcentral.
UUUCUUAGAAAAAUGCUAGGUGUCUUCAAUAUGAGCUAGUAAGAAACAUUUCUUCCAUCAGGGAAAAGUAACAAAUAGUUUGUAUAUGAGUGUAAGGAAGAUUUGACUAAAGAUUUUUCCUAUGCUGUAAUAUAUUCAUGAACUAUGGUUAUGAUGAUCUAGGAGUUUUGGUAUUGAAUACUGUUGUUGCGGGAGUUUCGGUUCCUUUAAGUUUCGAUUCGAGUCCAAUAUCUGAUAAUGACUUCUGUUGUAUAUCAUGUAUAUGGAAUCUCAUUAUUACCCACUAUUUCUAGUAAUUCGACAUAUGGCCUCUUAUUAUUAUCCACAACUAUCAGUUUAAGCCCCACAUCUAGCCUCUCAUUAUUUCUCAUUGGUAUCGUUUUGAGAUCGGUGCAUAUAUAGAGGGCUACUAAGGUUUCAUGGGAUUGGUUCAGAUAUGUAUUAUUUAUAUUUUACUUUAAAAUUACUUCUUGUGUGUCCCACCAUCUUAUGAGGGCACGAUUUGAUUAAUUUUUUUAUUUAGUGUGCCUUGCGGGCUUAUAGAGGCCCAAUUAGUUAUGUUUGAUUUCCCUUUAAUUAUUACAUUAUUUAUCUUUCUGUGUCACUUUUACUGAUUUCUUUAUCGUAUUUACGUAGCUCGAUAGUUGUUUACCUUUCUAUCCCUAUUUACUAUUGAGUUAGACAACACCCUCACAUUUUAGUUAUAAUUUAG